This 1039-nucleotide long non-coding RNA is filed under the name Phascolarctos cinereus (koala). RNAcentral describes it as "lncRNA (ENSPCIG00000031322.1)". Lineage: Eukaryota; Metazoa; Chordata; Mammalia; Diprotodontia; Phascolarctidae. The record is from RNAcentral.
GACUCCCAGGCCAGAGAUCAGGGAGGAUGAGCCGUGGGAAUCUCUCUGGCCCUCCAGUACACCUGAGUUAAAGGACUUCAUUUUCAGGCAUUCUCCCGUACACUUGGCUAACUCCCGCUCUCCCUGGAUCACUUUACUUUUCUAUGCACCUAGAACGAGAAACAUCUUUGUUCCUUGUAGCAUCCACAGAUGGCACCUUGACAUACAUAGAGCAAUUCCUAAGUGGAAUCAUUAGGAAGGAACAAAAAAAAAUUUGGUGUACAUGUCCUCAUCUCAGCCCUGACGAUAGAAUAUUCCAAACAUUCUUUCCUCAACUCAUCUACUGAACUUCACUGCUUCGACUUUGUAUCCUUUCAUUGAUCUCAGAGAAUUUUGUAUUCCUUCAUUAAUCCUCGUGGCUCGUGGCCGGAACACUCACUGCUAGCGCCAUCUUCUGAGGCUUUUCUGAUCCCCUCCGCCAUGAAUAGUGUUCCCUCCAAGGUUACCUGGUAUCAACUUUGCGUAUCCCUAUGUAUCAAUCAAGCAACAAAUAUUUUACAGUGAAACAACCCCUACUUGAAAGGAGUUUCCAUUUUAAUUGGGAGAGAAUAAGCAUUUAUUAAGCAUCUACAGUGUGAUGUGCCAGGUAAUGUGCUAAUAAUAAUAAUGAUGAUAGCUAACAUUUUUUAGAGCUCUUAUUAUGUGCAAGGCACUGUGCUAAGCCCUUUACAAUUAUUAUCUCAUUUAUUUUUCACAAGCCGGGGAGGUAGGUGCUAUUAUUUUUACAGAUGAGAAAACUGAGGCAGACAAAAAUUAAUUAACUUGCCUAAGGUCACAGAGCUGGUAAGUGUCUAAGGCUGAAUUUGAACUCAGUCCCUCCUGACUUCAGGUCCAGCACUCUAUCUACUGCACCACUCAGAUAACAAGAUAUAUGUGUGUGUGUGUGUGUGUGUGUGUGUGUGUGUGUAUGUGUGUAUAUAUAUGUAUAUAUUUGUGUGUGUGUGUGUAUAUAUAUAUAUAUAGAUAUAUAUAUAUAAUAUAUAUAUAUAUAGUUAACAUA